CAGCGUCCCACCAGAGGUUGAAGUACUUACCUCUGUGCGAGACUGCAGUCUCUUGUUCAUCUCAUAGAUUCGGUACUCUGGCUGCACCAUGUAUGGUGUAUGUCUC
Ceratotherium simum simum (southern white rhinoceros) is the source of this 106-nucleotide non-coding RNA. The record is from RefSeq and is a predicted model, not a curated record. NCBI's taxonomy places the organism in Eukaryota, Metazoa, Chordata, Mammalia, Perissodactyla, Rhinocerotidae.